UCAACGCUGGCGGCGUGCCUAACACAUGCAAGUCGAACGAGAAAGUGGGAGCAAUCCCAUGAGUACAGUGGCGAACGGGUGGGUAACACGUGACUAACCUACCUUCCAGUGGGGGAUAACCUCGGGAAACCGGGGCUAAGACCGUAUAAUCUCGCGAGGUGAGAAUCCUGGUGAGCAAAGGGGUAAGACGCUGGUAGAGGGGGUCGCGGCCGAUUAGCUAGUUGGCGGGGUAACGGCCCACCAAGGCGAUGAUCGGUAGCCGGCCGGAGAGGGCGCACGGCCACACUGGAACUGAAACACGGUCCAGACUCCUACGGGAGGCAGCAGUGGGGAAUUUUGCACAAUGGGGGAAACCCUGAUGCAGCAACGCCGCGUGGAGGAUGAAGUCCCUUGGGACGUAAACUCCUUGCGACCGGGACGAUAAUGACGGGACCGGGGGAAGAAGCCCCGGCUAACUCCGU
Molecule: ribosomal RNA, 461 nt
Filed under: uncultured bacterium
Lineage: Bacteria
Description: bacterial SSU rRNA
Rfam family: Bacterial small subunit ribosomal RNA
Source: RNAcentral